This 250-nucleotide ribosomal RNA is filed under the name uncultured bacterium. Its description in RNAcentral is "partial 16S ribosomal RNA". It matches the Rfam family "Bacterial small subunit ribosomal RNA", at positions 524 to 773 of the family's 1533-position model. The record is from RNAcentral.
UACGUAGGGGGCUAGCGUUGUCCGGAAUCAUUGGGCGUAAAGAGCGUGUAGGCGGCUCGGUAAGUCCGCUGUGAAAGUCCAGGGCUCAACCCUGGAAUGCCGGUGGAAACUGUCGAGCUAGAGUCCGGAAGAGGCGAGUGGAAUUCCUGGUGUAGCGGUGAAAUGCGCAGAUAUCAGGAGGAACACCAAUGGCGAAGGCAGCUCGCUGGGACGGUACUGACGCUGAGACGCGAAAGCGUGGGGAGCAAAC